GUAGGGGGCAAGCGUUAUCCGGAUUUACUGGGUGUAAAGGGAGCGCAGGCGGUAUGGCAAGUCAGAUGUGAAAACCCAGGGCUCAACCCUGGGACUGCAUUUGAAACUGCCAUACUGGAGUGCCGGAGAGGUAAGUGGAAUUCCUAGUGUAGCGGUGAAAUGCGUAGAUAUUAGGAGGAACACCAGUGGCGAAGGCGGCUUACUGGACGGUAACUGACGCUGAGGCUCGAAAGCGUGGGGAGCAAA
Molecule: ribosomal RNA, 246 nt
Filed under: uncultured bacterium
Lineage: Bacteria
Description: partial 16S ribosomal RNA
Rfam family: Bacterial small subunit ribosomal RNA
Source: RNAcentral